RNAcentral lists this unclassified non-coding RNA (406 nucleotides) under soil metagenome. Its description in RNAcentral is "partial contains 5.8S ribosomal RNA, internal transcribed spacer 2, and large subunit ribosomal RNA". The stretch from base 1 to 121 matches the Rfam family "5.8S ribosomal RNA", at positions 35 to 154 of the family's 154-position model. The record is from RNAcentral.
GAUGAAGAACGCAGCGAAAUGCGAUAGGUAGUGUGAAUUGCAGAUGUAACGUGAAUCAUCGAAUCUUUGAACGCAAAUUGCACUCUCUGGUAUUCCGGGGAGUAUGCCUGUUUGAGGGUCGCCAAAUCAACAUCGAAAUUCAUUUGCUUUUGUAAAUGUUUAUCGGAUUUGAGCCGUCUUUUUUUAUUUUAAUUAAAGUGGCUUAAAAUGUAUUUUUUUGGUAUCGAAAAACGUUAUUUUACGAUCAAAUUGAUUAAAAAAACAAACGUUUUCGAAUGCCGCCUUUUUAAUGUAAUACGUUUGACUGUGAUGGUUAAUCAUAGUUUCAUUCGUAUACGAUUUUUUAAUUUGACCUCAAAUCAGGUAAGAACACCCGCUGAACUUAAGCAUAUCAAUAAGCGGAGGA